GACGAACGCUGGCGGCGUGCCUAAUACAUGCAAGUAGAACGCUGAAGGAGGAGCUUGCUUCUCUGGAUGAGUUGCGAACGGGUGAGUAACGCGUAGGUAACCUGCCUGGUAGCGGGGGAUAACUAUUGGAAACGAUAGCUAAUACCGCAUAAGAGUAGAUGUCGCAUGACAUUUGCUUAAAAGGUGCAAUUGCAUCACUACCAGAUGGACCUGCGUUGUAUUAGGUAGUUGGUGAGGUAACGGCUCACCAAGGCAACGAUACAUAGCCGACCUGAGAGGGUGAUCAGCCACACUGGGACUGAGACACGGCCCAGACUCCUACGGGAGGCAGCAGUAGGGAAUCUUCGGCAAUGGACGGAAGUCUGACCGAGCAACGCGGCGUGAGUAAAGAAGGUUUUCGGAUCGUAAAGCUCUGUUGUAAGAGAAGAACGAGUGUGAGAGUGGAAAGUUCACACUGUGACGGUAACUUACCAGAAAGGGACGGCUAACUACGUG
RNAcentral lists this ribosomal RNA (495 nucleotides) under uncultured bacterium. RNAcentral's name for it is "partial 16S ribosomal RNA". It matches the Rfam family "Bacterial small subunit ribosomal RNA", at positions 28 to 507 of the family's 1533-position model. The record is from RNAcentral.